AUCAUUAGCGAGUUGCAUUCGGGCUCCGGCCCGAUCCUCCCACUCUUUGUGUACCUACCUCUGUUGCUUUGGCGGGCCGCGGUCCUCCGCGGCCGGCCCCCCCUCCCCGGGGGGUGGCCAGCGCCCGCCAGAGGACCAUCAAACUCCAGUCAGUAAACGAUGCAGUCUGAAAAACAUUUAAUAAACUAAAACUUUCAACAAACGGAUCUCUUGGUUCUGGCAUCGAUGAAGAACGCAGCGAAAUGCGAUAAGUAAUGUGAAUUGCAGAAUUCAGUGAAUCAUCGAAUCUUUGAACGCACAUUGCGCCCUUUGGUAUUCCGAAGGGCAUGCCUGUUCGAGCGUCAUUUACAACCCUCAAGCUCUGCUUGGUAUUGGGCACCGUCCUUUGCGGGCGCGCCUCAAAGACCUCGGCGGUGGCGUCUUGCCUCAAGCGUAGUAGAACAUACAUCUCGCUUCGGAGCGCAGGGCGUCGCCCGCCGGACGAACCUUUCUGAACUUUUCUCAAGGUUGACCUCGGAUCAGGUAGGGAUACCCGCUGAUCUUAA
RNAcentral lists this ribosomal RNA (545 nucleotides) under Botryosphaeria dothidea. Its description in RNAcentral is "eukaryotic LSU rRNA". The stretch from base 190 to 344 matches the Rfam family "5.8S ribosomal RNA". The record is from RNAcentral. Lineage: Eukaryota; Fungi; Ascomycota; Dothideomycetes; Botryosphaeriales; Botryosphaeriaceae.